AUACUAGAGAAACACCAACCAGAAAACAUCAGUUGUAGGUCUGUGGCUACCACCCCAGGAAGCUGGACUGCACUUCAGGCUGCAUGUGAAGGGACUGUGGAGCCUGAUAUUCCCAGAUCCUUGUCCAGGGAAUGCUGCUGAGGACGCGGUGUGUCCCUGAACAACUUUAAAUUCCCCUGCUGCU
Molecule: long non-coding RNA, 184 nt
Organism: Empidonax traillii (willow flycatcher)
Lineage: Eukaryota; Metazoa; Chordata; Aves; Passeriformes; Tyrannidae
Exons: 3
Source: RefSeq, a predicted model, not a curated record